This 710-nucleotide ribosomal RNA is filed under the name uncultured Bradyrhizobium sp. RNAcentral's name for it is "bacterial SSU rRNA". It matches the Rfam family "Bacterial small subunit ribosomal RNA", at positions 56 to 810 of the family's 1533-position model. The record is from RNAcentral. Lineage: Bacteria; Pseudomonadati; Pseudomonadota; Alphaproteobacteria; Hyphomicrobiales; Nitrobacteraceae.
UGCAAGUCGAGCGGGCGUAGCAAUACGUCAGCGGCAGACGGGUGAGUAACGCGUGGGAACAUACCUUUUGGUUCGGAACAACACAGGGAAACUUGUGCUAAUACCGGAUAAGCCCUUACGGGGAAAGAUUUAUCGCCGAAAGAUUGGCCCGCGUCUGAUUAGCUAGUUGGUGAGGUAACGGCUCACCAAGGCGACGAUCAGUAGCUGGUCUGAGAGGAUGGUCAGCCACAUUGGGACUGAGACACGGCCCAAACUCCUACGGGAGGCAGCAGUGGGGAAUAUUGGACAAUGGGCGCAAGCCUGAUCCAGCCAUGCCGCGUGAGUGAUGAAGGCCCUAGGGUUGUAAAGCUCUUUUGUGCGGGAAGAUAAUGACGGUACCGCAAGAAUAAGCCCCGGCUAACUUCGUGCCAGCAGCCGCGGUAAUACGAAGGGGGCUAGCGUUGCUCGGAAUCACUGGGCGUAAAGGGUGCGUAGGCGGGUCUUUAAGUCAGGGGUGAAAUCCUGGAGCUCAACUCCAGAACUGCCUUUGAUACUGAGGAUCUUGAGUUCGGGAGAGGUGAGUGGAACUGCGAGUGUAGAGGUGAAAUUCGUAGAUAUUCGCAAGAACACCAGUGGCGAAGGCGGCUCACUGGCCCGAUACUGACGCUGAGGCACGAAAGCGUGGGGAGCAAACAGGAUUAGAUACCCUGGUAGUCCACGCCGUAAACGAU